AAUUCGACCUCGAUCGAAUGACAAUGGGUUACUAUUUCGUAAAGUUCGAAAUAACACCCUUUAAGGCUAGGGGCUUUCGCCAAAAUGAAGAGUUAAACCUCUAUCGAACGACGACGGGUGACUAUUUCGAUAAGUUCAAAAUAACACCCUUUAAGGCCAGAGGCCUUCGCCAAAAAGAAGAGUUCGACCUCGAUCAUACGACGACGGGUUACUAUUUCGAUAAGUUCGAAAUAACACCCUUUAAGGCCAGGGGCCUUCGCCAAAAAGAAGAGUUCGACCUCGAUCGAACGACGACGGGUUACUAUUUCGAUAAGUUCGAAAUAACACCCUUGAAGGCCAGGGGCCUUCGCCAAAAAGAAGAGUUCAACCUCGAUCGAAUGACGAUGGGUUACUAUUUUGAUAAGUUCGAAAUAACACCCUUUAAGGCCAAGGGCCUUCGCAAAAAAGAAGAGUUCAACCUCUAUCGAACAACGACGGGUGACUAUUUCGAUAUGCUCGAAAUAACACCCUUUAAGGCCAGAGGCCUUCGCCAAAAAGAAGAGUUCGACCUCGAUCAUACGACGACGGGUUACUAUUUGGAUAAGUUCGAAAUAACACAAUUUAAGGCUAGGGAGCUUCACCAAAAAGAAGAGUUUGACCUCGAUCGAACGACGACGGGUUACUAUGUCGAUUAGUUUGAAAUAACACAUUUUAAGGCCAAUGGCCUUCGCCAAAAAGAAGAAUU
RNAcentral lists this long non-coding RNA (724 nucleotides) under Nicotiana tabacum (common tobacco). RNAcentral describes it as "long non-coding RNA (NTAB_LNC019419)". Lineage: Eukaryota; Viridiplantae; Streptophyta; Magnoliopsida; Solanales; Solanaceae. The record is from RNAcentral.